AAUUGGGAUGGACUCAUAAGAAUGGUAGUCCCAAUUAAUGGGUUAAACCUCGAGAGAGUAAUAACCCAAUUUGAACCAUAUGUUGCUUGGGCAAAUUGGCCUACCCAAUUGGUCUCGAUAGAAUCAAUUGGGCAAAAUCACUUUCUCUACCGAGAGGUGUGAGAGUGGGUGCAAAAGUUUUAUUUUUGAUAAACUUUUAUUUUUAAUAUUAAACUCUUAAUCACACCUCGGUGUAUUUUAAUAAAAGUUUAAUAUUAAAAAUAAAAGUUUAAUAUUAAGGGUUUAUCAAUUUCGAUUAAGAGUUUUUGUAUUUUGUAGGCAUUUAAAUUAAUUUUUAUUUUUUGUUUUUAGCCCAAUAUUUGUAAGAGACUAUGACCCAAUUUUUACACAUUCUUGAAGCGCAAUUUUUACAAGCUCAUCAAGACCACUCCUCUUUCUUCAUACAAGCUAAAACCCUACAUUCAUCUUCCUCAUAAGACAAGCACACAACAAUGGAGAUGGAUACAACAAAAAACCCUAGUCUCCAUUAAACUCCAAGCAUCCACCACUAGUACCGCCGGCUAACACCACAUGCUAACCAUCUCCAAAACCCUAUCAAAUACACUCCAAAACAACCCCAAAUCUCCAUGAAAGUUACCUCAAACCCAGCAUGAAACAAACCCGAAGCAGCCUAUGAACCAGAUGUAAAACACCUCUAACCAGUCACAGAACUCCAAAGAACUCGAGAGAUUUGUUUAGGUUUACCGUUUGAGGUAUCGUCCGAGGUUCCCCGUGAAAGCUCCAAUGAGAGCACUUGUUCGAGGUUUCUGUUCAAUUUUUCGGUCCAAGUCUGGUCGUCGGUUUCCGAUUUUGCUUUCGAGCAAUUGUUUGAGUCUACUAGACAACUCGAUUUGGAUCUAAUUUUCAGAAGAAUUUUGGAUUUACCUUAAGGUCCAUUUCUUACUUCCUCUAUCUCAUUUUUAUUUUCUGUUUGUGUAAUCAUAUGUUUUAUUUGAUGAUUUGACAAUUUUGUUUUAUCUCUGUUAGUUCGAGCUCCAUGGAAUGAAUGCUUAAAUGAGUGCCUUUUGCAUUUUGGACUUUACUAUUGAUGCCUUUUGCUAGUACUUGAAUUACAGAUUCUAAAAAAAUUAGGAAAUUAAAAUUUGAGAAGGAGUAAGGUUUGUUACUAUUGAUGCCUUUUGCUAGUGUUUGAAUUACAGAUUCUAAAAAAAUUAGGAAAUUAAAAUUUGAGAAGGAGUAAGGUUUGUUAAAUUGAUGUGGAGUUAUUUUAGAAGAUGUGAUUUUGAUCGGGAAUGUGGUCUUGGGAAUUUAAAGGGAAACUGAAUUAAAAUUUGAGUAUCAUAUAUUCACAAUUCUGUUUUAUAGCCUUGACCGCUAGGAGCACAUUUAGGCCAUCAACACUUGGGUAGGCAAUCUUAGAAUUUUUCAUUAGUUUUUGGUUUUGGGGUGAGAGGUCGUCCCUUAGAUAAAUUCAUCCGGGGAAUUUCCCGUCGACUGUGUAAAUACUUCAACCCGGGAAUGCCCCGAAGUACUUUGUAAAUAUUUUGGAGGGUGUGAUGUGUUGGUAAGGGAAGCAUAGUGUAGUACUUUAUUCUUAUUUUUCUUUUAUUAGGUGGGGACGACCUCAAGCCCUUUUGUGUGUUUAUUUUUCUGUGUUUGUUUUACCUCAACUUGAAUAUUUUAGAAGCCAACUUGAUCGAGUACGCAACUGUGACCUUCACGGGACUUGGGGAGUGCAUAACACCUUCUCCCCACGUCAAAUGAACCCCCUUACCCGAAUCUCUGGUGCGGACUUAGUUUUGAGUCCAAGUGUUUAAAAGAAAAAUAUUUUUUUUUAAAACGGUGACCUGGCACACCGAAAUUAAAUGUUAGGUGGCGACUCUGAGUUAAUCCAUUUGAAACACAAUUUUUGUCACCUUUCAAUUGAAAACCUUUUUCAAAAUUUUAUUAAAUCUUUUUAUUAAUUUAAGAGGGUUUAGUGAGAGUUUGGUAUAAAAAAGGGGUGUGACAUCUCUGGCGACUCCGCUAGGGAGUUGUGGGUUUGAGCUAGUACUUGAUUUUGUUGGCUUUUAGGAUUUUUCGGGUGAGGUUUCUAUGUGUUUUGUUUGUUUUAUUUGAUUUUUGUUUUGUUUAUGUCUUUUUAUUAUUUGCUAGCUG
RNAcentral lists this long non-coding RNA (2157 nucleotides) under Nicotiana benthamiana. RNAcentral's name for it is "long non-coding RNA (NBEN_LNC031060)". Lineage: Eukaryota; Viridiplantae; Streptophyta; Magnoliopsida; Solanales; Solanaceae. The record is from RNAcentral.